This 240-nucleotide unclassified non-coding RNA is filed under the name soil metagenome. Its description in RNAcentral is "partial contains 5.8S ribosomal RNA, internal transcribed spacer 2, and large subunit ribosomal RNA". The record is from RNAcentral.
AACUGAUACUACCUGCGGGAACCUGCGGAGGGAUCAUUACUGAAGUGAUUUGGGGAUGUUGCUGCCCUCUCUCAAGGGGGGGCACUGUGCACUCCUCGAAACAAUUCACAAUUUCCAUCACACCCCUUGUGCACACCUUGUAGGCACCCAAACCCACCUCCGGGUGGUGGGGUCCUAUGUAUUCCUUCAUCUCACACUCUGUUGAAUGGUGCCAUGGGACGCAUCUAAAGGAUUAUUUGU